GCCACUGAAGUUAAAGAGGUUUAACAAAGAGUCUAAAAUUCUUGAGACGGAGGUUCGAUUCCUCUCUGUGGUUAA
RNAcentral lists this transfer RNA (75 nucleotides) under Amphiura sp. CZ-2022. RNAcentral's name for it is "tRNA-Leu". It matches the Rfam family "tRNA". From Rfam's summary of the family: Transfer RNA (tRNA) molecules are approximately 80 nucleotides in length. Their secondary structure includes four short double-helical elements and three loops (D, anti-codon, and T loops). The record is from RNAcentral. Lineage: Eukaryota; Metazoa; Echinodermata; Ophiuroidea; Amphilepidida; Amphiuridae.